AGAAAGAACCAGCCAGUGAAACUGAGAACAAGUGGCCAGGGAGGUUUGUUAUCGACCCAAUCAUUACAUCGCUACCCAAGAGUUGGAAACUUCCUGUGUUGCCCACGCUGGUCUCAAACUCCUGGACUCAUGGGAUCCUCCCACCUUGGCCUCCCAAAGCAGUGGUAUUACAGGCAUGAGCCAUUGCACUGGGCUCCUGUUUAGUUUUAAUUUUAAAACACCUCAAGAGUCAGAUAAUUCAGGGAAAGACCAUGCAAGGCUGUUACUGAAGAAAGUGCUACGAGUCUGUUCUAGACAUGGCUUGCCUAGCACUGAGCAUCCUUCCUCACUUCUAAGUGAGAAUUUUCCAGAUCUGUGCAUUGGGGUCCCCCAAGAAAGAGGCUCAGUCCUGAUGUACUGUUUCCUGUAUACUGCAUGCUCACCCCCCAAAACCACAUGGUUAAUCCAGAUCCAGCCCCUGCUUUCUUAGUUAUGAGGCUUCUCAUGGCAAAGCAAUAAAAAGCAAGUUUUCAAUGAUAAAGUCAUGUCUGAAAACAUGUUAAUUGUCAUCAUCUUUGAUGUUGUAACCUGAGCUAUAGAUUGUUGGGAUGCACACGUUACUCUUUUAAGCUUAUGUGCCUUGAUUCUGUCUACAUCAUUUCUUUCUUUCUGAACUGUGAACUGCGCUAAUUUGAUGGGGUUUGCUACCUGAUUGGGGUCCUGACCUUAGCCUUCAUCUUGCCAUAUACAGUUUGUUUUUGUCUCCAUCAGCGUUAGCUCUGUUCAACGCCCUUGUGGAGUCCAGGACUUAGAGAGAGGAUCUCCAAGCAGAAGCCCCCAGCCCACGUGAGAACAGGGAGACCCUUGUGCCCUUAACUGUUUUCCAUAGUACUGCCCAGCCUUGUACACUCUGGCCCAAAUGUUCCUCACCUUUGGAAGACACAGAACUUCUUUCAAAACCAUUGAAAUAUCGAGAUCAUUUCCGCAGAAAGAAAAUGUAAUUUAAGUUGAUUUUGGCAUCUGAGGAGGUGUAUGAUCUCUACAAUAAGAACUGCAAAAACACUGCUCAAAGAAAUCAGAGAUGAUACAAACAGUGAAAAAAUAUCCCAUGCUCAUGGAUAGGAAGAAGCAAUAUUAUUUAAAUGGCCAUGCUACUCAAAGCAAUUUACAGAUUCAGUGCUAUCCCUAUCAAACUACCAAUGACAUUCUUCACGGAAUUAGAAAAAACUAUUUUAAAAUUCAUACAGAACCAUAAAAGCCCAAAUAGCCAAGGCAAUCAAUUCUAAGCAAAAAGAACAAAACUUGGAGGCAUCAAUUUAUGUGACUUGAAACUACACUACAGGGCUACCGUAACCAAAACAGCCUGGUACUGGUACAAAAGCAUACACAUAGACCAACAGAACAGAAUAGAGAGCCUAGAAAUAAUGCCACACACCUGUAAUCAUCUGAUCUUUGACAAAGUUGACAAAAGCAAUGGGGAAAGGACUCCCUAUUCAAUAAAUGGUGCUGGGAUAACUGGGUAGCCACAUGCAAAAGAUUGAAACUGGACCCCUUCCUUACACCAUAUACAAAUAUCAACUCAAGAUGAAUUAAAGAAUUAAAUGUGAAACCUCAAACUAUAAAAAUCCUUCAAUAUAACCUAGGAAUUAGCAUUUUUGACAUAGGCCCCAGCAAAGAUACUUUCUUCUUAAUACCUAGGAAGUGCCCAUUUACAAAAAUAAUGUCCUUCUUUGCUGACUUUGAAAAUAUACUCGGAUAAAACAGAGUAGGUCUUAUUAAUUGCAUAUGUUCACAUUUCAAAAUGUAAGUAGCCUUAUGUAAACCCCUAAAUAGCUAGUGACAUGAAUUUUUCAUUUCUUACAUGUGAAUAAACUUAAGCUGUACAUAGUUAAGAAGGCUUGGAACAAUUCAUAGAGAUUAUGACCUGUGAAGAACUGGCCAUCCAGAUAGGUCCCCACCACAUGCCACUGACCUUAUCUCCACCAUCACUGACUUCUUUUUAUGUUUAGAGGAUCCAGAUGCUCAGUGUCAUCUUCGAAGAUGCCAGGUCACAUUGGCAAAGGCCGCAAGAACUGAUAUGAAAAACCAGAUGCAAUGAAAACCGUAACUGUACAUGAGACAGAACUGCCCAAGGUCAAGCUGGGGCAUUCUGUGUGAAGAGGAAGAUGCCUUGGCAGAAGAUCACUUCAUCAUGACCAGGGCAUCAGAAGAAGGGGUCGCAGAAUUUAUUCAUGAUUCAAUAAGUAUGCACCACCUGUCUGGAAGUGAGUUAGCAUAAAACAUAAGUUCAGUAAGAAUACAAGAAUGAGUGAGUGAAUUAAGAAAUGAAUGGAUUGGGAGUUACCAUUGGCCACACACCGCUUAGACAGUAGAAUAUCUCAGCCAGGUAGAAAGAAUGGAUCAUGGUGGCCCAGCAAAGCAUGUACUUCCUGGGGCAGAUUGUGGCAUCAUUAUCUCCAACAUCUCUGACAAUUUCUGUUUCAAGUUAAGGGCUGGUCAGCUUCUAUUCUUAGAAACACUUUCUUUACACAUGUCAGUAAAUCAAAUCUUGUCUUUAGAGACAAUCCAUCUUGUUAAACUAACUUUGUUUGGGUCUACCCUGACCCUGUUUGUGCCACCCCUGCCCCCAUACAUAUAAUCAGUUUUGUCUGUAGUUAUAAUUUGUCCAUAAUUUGGAAAAGAGAAGCCUAAAAAAGUUCACUCUAGACACUUUCAGCUAGGAACAAACUUAUAUGUGAAAAUAAUUAAAAUGUGGGGAGUGAAGGUUUAUAGUGGAACUAUUUACAGACCCUCAAACACUGCACAACAGUUGAAACUUUGCUGUAGUGACUUCAUUCUCUUAGUUGUCAAUCUGUUUUUCUUCUACAUUUCUUCCACAUACUUCUGGUAUAUUUUUAAUAAAGAUUUUUCAAAAAGAUAAAUAUGGCUUAUAUUUUCCCAGCUCAAAAUUCCCCUGAAGGCCUCCGAAGCAGUAAAUAGUAGUGCUU
Molecule: long non-coding RNA, 2966 nt
Filed under: Homo sapiens (human)
Lineage: Eukaryota; Metazoa; Chordata; Mammalia; Primates; Hominidae
Description: long non-coding RNA NONHSAT176050.1
Source: RNAcentral